RNAcentral lists this long non-coding RNA (665 nucleotides) under Struthio camelus australis. RNAcentral describes it as "lncRNA (ENSSCUG00000003113.1)". Lineage: Eukaryota; Metazoa; Chordata; Aves; Struthioniformes; Struthionidae. The record is from RNAcentral.
CACCCUUGCGCUGGCAGGAUCAGUGAAAGCACCUCUGAACAAAGGAGAAGAGGGAGCCUUACUUUUGAGUGUUCACUUCUACUUCUGAUCUGAAGUAUCCUGGUCCUGAUGGGCUUCAUAGAACAAGACAAAGCCUUUAUCUUCGGGAUGGAGAGUUGACCUGUUAGCUGAACUGUCAGCUAAGCUGUGAUGGUGCAUGAGAGGUACCACGCAAAAUAGUGACACAGCAUUGUUGCUCCAAUCCGCAUCAGGCCAAGCAGCAGCACGUUAGCCUGUGGGGAAAUGGCUGAAGAAUAUUUGGACAGUAAAAGUUUGGAGCAGUGAGGACAUGCAAGUAAGAUGAACUAAAUCUCCCUGGAGUGUCUUCACCUGAAGACGUACCUUGGCAGACCACGUAGGACCACAUUUGGGUGGCGGCAGAUAUGGAUUCCAGUCCACAUCUGUAGAGAAGGAAGGGGCUUAUGGGCUCCUGCGUAUCGGGGAAGCAUACUUAUGUCUAGCAUAUAGGAACCAGCCGUUUAUUCUCAAGUAAUGGUACCCAAGCCACUGGAAAUAUUUGUAUUGCUUUGAGGGGCUCAUAUCUUUUGUUAUGUUUUGCCCUGAUUUGUGAAAUGGUAGUUUUCAGCAAACAAAUGAUUUGCUAACCAAAAAAUAAAAAUAGAGCU